CCUACGGGAGGCAGCAGUGAGGAAUAUUGGUCAAUGGGCGGAAGCCUGAACCAGCCAAGUCGCGUGAGGGAGUAAGGCCCUACGGGUCGUAAACCUCUUUUGCCGGGGAGCAGUGCCCAGCUCGUGAGCUGGGAGGGAGCGUACCCGGAGAAAAAGCAUCGGCUAACUCCGUGCCAGCAGCCGCGGUAAUACGGAGGAUGCGAGCGUUAUCCGGAUUUAGUGGGUUUAAAGGGUGCGCAGGCGGAAUGUCAAGUCAGCGGUAAAAUUUCGGGGCUCAACCCCGUCGUGCCGUUGAAACUGGCGUUCUUGAGUGAGCGAGAAGUAUGCGGAAUGCGUGGUGUAGCGGUGAAAUGCAUAGAUAUCACGCAGAACUCCGAUUGCGAAGGCAGCAUACCGGCGCUCAACUGACGCUCAUGCACGAAAGCGUGGGUAUCGAACAGGAUUAGAUACCCCUGUAGUC
RNAcentral lists this ribosomal RNA (460 nucleotides) under uncultured bacterium. RNAcentral's name for it is "partial 16S ribosomal RNA". It matches the Rfam family "Bacterial small subunit ribosomal RNA", at positions 338 to 795 of the family's 1533-position model. The record is from RNAcentral.